CCAAUAGCGUAUAUUAAAGUUGUUGCAGUUAAAAAGCUCGUAGUUGAACUUCGGGGUUCACCCAUUGGUCAGGCUUAAUUGUCUGCACUGGUGAGAUGAGUCUCUACCUUCUGAGGAACUUUCAUGCCAUUUAUUUGGUGUGGUUGGAAAUCAGGACUGUUACUUUGAAAAAAUUAGAGUGUUUAAAGCAGGCUAACGUCUGAAUACAUUAGCAUGGAAUAAUGAAAUAGGACGGACUGAUUCUAUUUCGUUGGUUUCUAGGAUCACCGUAAUGAUUAAUAGGGAUAGUUGGGGGCAUUAGUAUUCAAUUGGCAGAGGUGAAAUUCUUGGAUUUAUUGAAGACUAACUACUGCGAAAGCAUUUGCCAAGGAUGUUUUCAUUAAUCAAGAACGAAAGUUAGGGGAUCGAAGACGAUCAGAUACCGUCGUAGUCUUAACCAUAAACUAUGCCGACUAGGGAUCGGACGAAGUUAAUUUUAUAAUGACGCGUUCGGCACCUUACG
This 502-nucleotide ribosomal RNA is filed under the name uncultured Glomeromycotina. RNAcentral's name for it is "partial small subunit ribosomal RNA". It matches the Rfam family "Eukaryotic small subunit ribosomal RNA", at positions 591 to 1092 of the family's 1831-position model. Lineage: Eukaryota; Fungi; Glomeromycota. The record is from RNAcentral.